CUGCUGCUGCUGCUCUGGAUCAUCCCAGAGCCCGGGAACCAGCCUGAGCAGUGGGGAUCUAGAACACUGCCGCCACCAGCAAUGGGUUUGGAUCCCGGACCCUUCUUGUUUCCCCUCUAACUCUCACAGCCCAUCAUGACACUCAUUCAUUCAUUCACUCACUUACCGCACAGGGUAGUACACCCAGCAUCAGCUUGGACAGGGAAUUGGGGGGUAGGGGGAGUGACAGAGAGAGGGGAGGUCGUCCAGCCCUCCGAGCUUUGGUUUGCUCCAAGUACUUCUGCCUUCACUCUUAGUCCAAAACCUCAAAAUUUCCUUUGGGACACGACAAGUUGUCUCCAGGGGAGUUUCACUGUCCCACAGCCGACAGCUCUCAGAUCCUUUGGGAUGUUAUUUCCUCCCUAAACUACACAGAGCACGGUGCAAGGAACUGGAGUCAUUGAAAGGAGCUGGGACUAAAACUGAAACAGCUGUAACAGCUGGAGGCUGGGGUUAGAGGGAGAAAUGCUACUGGCAAAUUGUAUUACGUUAAAGUCUGAGACUGUGAUUGCAUCAGUGAAGGAACUCCUGGCAUGAAAAUUCUCUUCACCUAUGUAUAUCAACAGCUACUCUUAGAAUGGUCUGGGUCAUUGAGAGAAGGACCAAGGAUCAAGAAAUAACAACAACAAGGAUUGCUAACUGACUGAGGAGAUCUCAACAGAGAAGCAUCUUGGGGCUGCUUUUUUCCAAUGGAGAAGUGAUCAAAAACUAUAAACAGAGAAUUCUCAAAGGAAAAGUUGUAUCCUAUCAACAACCAGUUGUUACAAAAUCAACAUAAAUAAGUGAAGCACAAUAAAGUGUUUCUUGGGAAACCUAGCACAUUGGUAAAGAUAGGAAAAGUAAAUGCUGGAGGCACUGUGGAAAGGCUGGCUCCAUAAUCCACUCUUGGUGAAGUUGUAAUGUUCAAUCAUUCUGGAAAACAAUUUGGAAUUUUGAAAAGAAAUAUUUUUAAAGUUUUAUUCAGUGAUCCCAUAGACAGGAAUUGGGUGGAAAUGGUCCCUUAUAUGCCAAAAUAAUCACAGUAGCACUCUGUAUAGUAGGAAUGUAACAAAAUAUUCCUGUCAUGAAAAAAUGAUGAAAGAAAAGAACACUAAGUGGAAAGAUAAUCUGAUAUAGAAUAACUAUAAGGAGAGGGAGGAAAACAAUGUAUACAAUGACUAAAAUAAUGUAAGUAGAUACAACAGCAAUGAGUUGGUUUUAUGUAGUAAAGGUACAUUUUUUUUGGUCAGGGUAGGGACUAUGGAUUUGCAAUAAUACAAAUUCUUUAGGCUUAAUUGAUGGGUGGCUGGUAUAAUUGAACUAUUCUCCCCACAUUAAAAAUGUAUUUUAUACAAUAACUUAUAAAAGGGAAGAGGUGUGGAUUUUCUUUUUAAUGAAAGUGGUAUAAAAGCAAAAUAUAUUGAUAAAAUAAUAACUUAAAAUUAUAUAUAAAACAUCCAAAGUAAUACAAAUGAAAUAAUUUAAUACAAUAUAUUAUGCUAUACCACAACAAGAUAAAGUAAUAUAACAUGAGAUAAUAUACUGGAAUAUGAUUUGAUACUCUUGCAAAAGGGUUUGUUGGGUCUCUCCACUUUCUUUUUAUUGUUCCUUUAAUGAUAUACUUAUAUCUUUUAAUUUUGUAUCCUUUUCAUUUCUAAAUGCAUUGCUCUUCUAUCCUCUGCACACUAAGUCAUUCUUUGUACUGAAGAAAGAGACAGACAGAGAAACAGAGAAACAGAGACAUGGACAAAGACACAGAAAGUGAACAUAACACACUUCAGUAAAAACUGACCAGCUUAUUAACCAUAUCUGACAGCAUAAACAAUGUUCCACACUCAUUGUCCCCUGCCUCUGUAAAAAUGAAUUCUUUCACUUUUAUUCCCCAGUUACAAAAAUCUCCUAUCAUUUAUUUCUUCCUUAGAAUAGAUGCCAGAGAGGGAAGGCUGGACUUGGUUUGAGAAGAUUUUGAGGAAACAGAAAAAGUGGGUCGUGGGAGAAAAGAAUAUUUAAUAUAAGAAAAGAAAAUGACUGAAAAAGAGACUUCUGCCUAUUGUUCUUUGGUAUGGUACCAAAGUUCUUGUGUCAUCAUCUUGUCCUUGAAUUCAUUCUCUAGAAGGAGUUGGGGUUUUAUAAUCAUAGGAUCCAGCUGAGGGGUAGAUAUUCUGAUGUUGAGGCUUCACCACAAUCUAAGAUUAUAUAUGAAAUAAAAUUAAUCUAGAAACAAAAUGGAGUCCCAUUCAUGGAGAAUGC
Molecule: long non-coding RNA, 2268 nt
Organism: Antechinus flavipes (yellow-footed antechinus)
Lineage: Eukaryota; Metazoa; Chordata; Mammalia; Dasyuromorphia; Dasyuridae
Exons: 4
Source: RefSeq, a predicted model, not a curated record